This is a long non-coding RNA of Magallana angulata, 553 nucleotides long. RefSeq lists it as uncharacterized. The record is from RefSeq and is a predicted model, not a curated record. The transcript has 2 exons. NCBI's taxonomy places the organism in Eukaryota, Metazoa, Mollusca, Bivalvia, Ostreida, Ostreidae.
CCAUAUUGCAUCACGUCUCCCCGAAAGUCAAAAUAAGGUCAACUUAUCCACUCGAUGAUCUGAUUGGCCACAAAGUGAUACCAUAUAGUAACCAAGAGUGAUGUGAUAAUUACGUAAUGGGACAUGUAUAUAAAAGUACAAUGGGUAUCAUUGGUGAACUAAUGUGCUUGAAACUUCUGAAAGCUUUGAGAUACUAAAGAUUUAGGACAAUGAAGUUUCUUCCGUUCUGUCUCGUUUUCGCUUUUCUACUGAUGACGUCAACGGUACUCGGAGAGUCCGAGACUUUGAGAGAAACGGACAAAACGAGGCAUUAUACCAGCAGAGUAUACAAACUCUAUCAUACUUACUUGAAAGAUGUUGCUAGCAAGAAUCGAUUCCAGAAAUAUCAAUCGAAGCCGGUAAUAAAAGAACACAAGCAGCCAUUGUUCUAGAUUUUCAAGCUGCAAGUUGCGUUGAAACGAUUUCAAGUUAUUUUCUUGUGGCCAAUAUAUGUGCAAAAUUAUAUUGUUGUGUAUAGUAUAUUAAAUCAAUACAGCUGUGUUGCACAAUACAC